This 294-nucleotide ribosomal RNA is filed under the name Opisthopatus cinctipes. Its description in RNAcentral is "partial 12S ribosomal RNA". Lineage: Eukaryota; Metazoa; Onychophora; Udeonychophora; Euonychophora; Peripatopsidae. The record is from RNAcentral.
AAAACUUAAUAAUUUGACGGUGAAUAUUUCCUAAAGGAACUUGUAAUUUAAUCGAUAUUUCACGAACUAUUUCACUUAUAUUUAUCUUGUAUACCUCCGUGUAGAUUUUAUUAAAAAUUUAAUUAUCUAAUAAAUUAUUAUUAAUAUAUCAGGUCAAGGUGCAGUAUAUAUAAGUUAUUAUGUGUUACAUUGAGAAAUUAUAAUUAGAUUUAAUUUGAAAAAAUUAAGGAAAAUGAAUUUAUAAGUAAAAAAAAUUAUAAUAUUUUUUUGAAAGUUAAGUAUUUAUGUACACAU